GACGAACGCUGGCGGCGUGCUUAACACAUGCAAGUCGAACGGAAAGGCCCCUUUGGGGGUACUCGAGUGGCGAACGGGUGAGUAACACGUGAGUAACCUGCCCUUGACUUCGGGAUAACUUCAGGAAACUGGGGCUAAUACCGGAUAGGAAUCCUUGCUGCAUGGUGGGGGUUGGAAAGCUUCGGCGGUUUUGGAUGGACUCGCGGCUUAUCAGCUUGUUGGUGGGGUAGUGGCUUACCAAGGCUUUGCCGGGUAGCCGGCCUGAGAGGGCGACCGGCCACAUUGGGACUGGGAUACGGCCCAGACUCCUACGGGAGGCAGCAGUGGGGAAUAUUGCACAAUGGGCGGAAGCCUGAUGCAGCAACGCCGCGGGCGGGAUGACGGCCUUCGGGUUGUAAACCGCUUUCAGCAGGGGCGAAGCUUGUGGUGACGGUACCUGCAGAAGAAGCACCGGCUAACUACGUG
Molecule: ribosomal RNA, 465 nt
Filed under: uncultured bacterium
Lineage: Bacteria
Description: partial 16S ribosomal RNA
Rfam family: Bacterial small subunit ribosomal RNA
Source: RNAcentral